RNAcentral lists this ribosomal RNA (491 nucleotides) under uncultured bacterium. Its description in RNAcentral is "partial 16S ribosomal RNA". It matches the Rfam family "Bacterial small subunit ribosomal RNA", at positions 29 to 507 of the family's 1533-position model. The record is from RNAcentral.
GUGAACGCUGGCGGUAGGCCUAACACCUGCAAGUCGAACGGCAGCACAGUAAGAGCUUGCUCUUACGGGUGGCGAGUGGCGGACGGGUGAGGAAUACAUCGGAAUCUACUUUUUCGUGGGGGAUAACGUAGGGAAACUUACGCUAAUACCGCAUACGACCUACGGGUGAAAGCAGGGGAUCUUCGGACCUUGCGCGAUUGAAUGAGCCGAUGUCGGAUUAGCUAGUUGGCGGGGUAAAGGCCCACCAAGGCGACGAUCCGUAGCUGGUCUGAGAGGAUGAGCAGCCACACUGGAACUGAGACACGGUCCAGACUCCUACGGGAGGCAGCAGUGGGGAAUAUUGGACAAUGGGCGCAAGCCUGAUCCAGCCAUACCGCGUGGGUGAAGAAGGCCUUCGGGUUGUAAAGCCCUUUUGUUGGGAAAGAAAAGCAGCAGGUUAAUACCCCGCUGUUCUGACGGUACCCAAAGAAUAAGCACCGGCUAACUUCGUG